Molecule: long non-coding RNA, 1204 nt
Organism: Hydractinia symbiolongicarpus
Lineage: Eukaryota; Metazoa; Cnidaria; Hydrozoa; Anthoathecata; Hydractiniidae
Exons: 3
Source: RefSeq, a predicted model, not a curated record
UUUAAGCUUCGCACAAUAAUAGAAACUGGUAUACAAAUUUGUAUAAACCGACGUUAUGUACAUUGCUUAGCCUUUUUAAACCCUCGUUUCUCGUUCGUUGAAAUCACUUUUUGCUAUGCAAUGUUUUUAUAACAGUUACAAGCUUUACACAAUACACUCUACAGAUUCAAGCAUGUUGUUUUAAUUAAAGAAAAACGGAGAUAAAUUCCAAACAUCCAAAAUUCGCAACCUGUUGUACUUUCCACUACUUUUACUUCUCACGACAUCGCCAGCUUUUCUACAAGUAAUAUGAUCAUUUUCCAGACAUGCUUGAACGCUUAUCUCUUCCUCGCACCAGUUUUUUGUUAAAGUACUUUAUCACCAUAGUGUAACCAAUGAAGCACAACAAAGGAGAGAUGACAGAGAAAUGUUUUAAUAAGAUGAUAAAGCAAAGUAUGUAGAUUGCAUCAUAUUUGUUUAUAUCUCUUCACCAAUAGCCGUAUUUAGUCUGCCUGCUUGUGCUGGAGAAAAUGCCGUGUUACGGAAACAAAAAAUGCGAUACAUAACGGACAGGGCAACCCAUGCAUUUGUCCACAAGCUACUGAAUAAUAAUAAUACAUAAAUAAUCUCCUGAAAAUAUGAGCGUACUAUAAGUGGCGGAGAAACUGUCGAAUGUCUCGAGCAGAAUUCGAUGUCAUAUAUUUGCUGAGAUAUUCGAUUUUCGACUAACGACUGCACGAAUAUCCAAAUAUAUUCCGUCAGACGCUCCCGCCUAAGGUGCAUGAUAUUAUUUCGUCGUCGUGUAUUUUCUUUGAAAUUGGAUAUCUUAUCAUUGCUUUUCCUAAACAAUGUAACUAGAUAUCAAGGUUUAUGAGAAUGAAGUUAAACUGUCAGCUCCUUUGCCUCAGUUUUAACGUUUAUUGUUGUGUUAAAUAAACACAACUUUUGAGGAUUAAAGUCUGAAGUACUAAUUUUUAACAAUUAUUCUGCAGCUUCUUCUAUUCUGAUAUAUUUGUAAAGAUUUUUGAGAAUCACAUCCAAACUGCUACUUUUUAUAAAUUCUUUGCCUUUCAUAAGUGAUAUUUUUUCCUCUUUUGCAAAUAUGUAAGUCAAACAUAUAUAUAUAUGAUGUGGCGACUUGCCUAUCGGGUUUUACAACAAUCGAUUUUUUCACUUAGCCAGUGUUGUAUCUUUGUUUUUAAUAUACACUGUAGUCAAUUGGGUA